AGAGAAAGAUAGCUUCUCCGAUGAAAAGCGCACUGCGAGUCGCAAAAGACACUUCGAUAUAUCGAUUCGAACGGACGAUGUUCAAGAGAAACAGUAUCUGUCAAAUGUGUGUCAAAGUAAAAAGACUUUGCGCUGUGAAAGAAUCUUUUUUUAAAUUCGGUUAAAUAAUUUGUGGAUAAUCCUGUUCAGUUUUUGAUAAAUCGUUUUGAUAAUUAUAAAUAUUAGAUUUUUUUCAACGAGAAAGAUUCAUAUCGUGGAAUUCGAGCAUUAAUGGGAAUCUGAAGAAAUUUCGUUCUCCUUUAUAUAUUCUAUUUCAGUACAGUAAUUGGAACAAGAUCGAUUGAUUCAAAUACGUAUUAAUUCCACGAGUUUGAACAAUUUGAAACAAUUUGCAAUUAAGAUUUCUCGGCGCUCGAUAAUAAAUAUCGAUAUCUGGCCACGAGUCGUGAAACGACGUCCAACUGUCGGAUUAAUUUUAUCAGUCAUAACUCGAUUCGCCCAUUCGAUCGUCAUUAACGUCGUUUCACGAUUGCACGAGAGAGACACCGAUGACACGCGUUAAAAUAGUUUUAUCCACGAUAUUUUCUAAACUGUUUGCCAAAUUGAUCGGGAGUAUUGAAACAGAAGAUUAUUUCAAACGAUUUAAAAAUUAAAUCGUAUAUUUUGAUCGAUCGAAUCGCUUGUAAUUUCUAUCUCGUGGGAUUUUUAUUGAAACGAUCGAAAUUAAUCGAACUGAACAGUGUCAGCGAUUUGGAAUUUUUAGGGGAAAAAGGUAUCGUUUUCUUUCGACGAUGAAAGAAUCCAAAAAAAAAAAAAAAAAAAAAAAAA
Long non-coding RNA from Apis mellifera (honey bee), 828 nucleotides. RefSeq lists it as uncharacterized. The transcript has 2 exons. Lineage: Eukaryota; Metazoa; Arthropoda; Insecta; Hymenoptera; Apidae. The record is from RefSeq and is a predicted model, not a curated record.